This 58-nucleotide transfer RNA is filed under the name Haemadipsa tianmushana. RNAcentral describes it as "tRNA-Ser". Lineage: Eukaryota; Metazoa; Annelida; Clitellata; Hirudinida; Haemadipsidae. The record is from RNAcentral.
AGUUAUUAUUAAGUAGAUUUUGAAAAUCUAUAUAAAAUGUUAAAUCAUUUAAUAACUU